GACAUACCCUUGAGUGCACAAUAACGUAACAUAAAACUUUAUGUGGAAUAAAAAAAAUUGUAUUUUCCAGCAAUUUGUAAUAUAAUUCUGCUAAACACAUCUAAUAAUUCUGCUAAACACAUUCAAAAAAUUAGUUGUUAUAAGAUAAAAUUGUACCUCAAACCUAUAGACCAACCACCGGCAGCAAUCGUUAAAGCUCAAACUAUGUGCAGAAAAGGGGGAAAAAAUCCUACACUACUGUCCUGUACCAAUUUUAAGCAUUUAAUAAAACCAGAAUCAAAAUAUGAGCUAACUAUUAGGGCAUGGGGAUCCAUGAAUUAACAAAAGGGUGUGAUAUGAAUGUAACUAACAAGGGGUUAGAUUUGCAACCGACUAAAAGCAGAUAAGUAGUAUUAGAAAAUGAGAUUAGAAGAAGAUUAACUAACCUCUUGACAAAAAGAGAAUGUUAAGUAUAUGAGAUUUAGGGUUAAUUUUAUAUAGUUGAAGUUGAAGCUAUAGUAGCAGAUCGAUGGGCGAAGCAAAUAUGCUGUGUGUUUUUCCUUUAUCUGGGAAUUUUGGAAGAAAGAAUUAUGGAGGCGAGAGAUACAGAAGGAGGGGGAGGGG
Molecule: long non-coding RNA, 603 nt
Filed under: Nicotiana tabacum (common tobacco)
Lineage: Eukaryota; Viridiplantae; Streptophyta; Magnoliopsida; Solanales; Solanaceae
Description: long non-coding RNA (NTAB_LNC006044)
Source: RNAcentral